Molecule: small nuclear RNA, 107 nt
Organism: Balaenoptera musculus (blue whale)
Lineage: Eukaryota; Metazoa; Chordata; Mammalia; Artiodactyla; Balaenopteridae
Source: Ensembl
GCACUCGCUUCAGCAGCACAUAUACUAAAAUUGAAAUGAUACAGAGACACUUAGCAUGGCCCCUGCGCAAGAAUGACACACAAAUUCAUGAAGCAAUCCAUGUUUUC